UACGUAGGGUGCAAGCGUUAAUCGGAAUUACUGGGCGUAAAGCGUGCGCAGGCGGUUAUAUAAGACAGAUGUGAAAUCCCCGGGCUCAACCUGGGAACUGCCUUUGUGACUGCAAGGCUAGAGUACGGCAGAGGGGGAUGGAAUUCCGCGUGUAGCAGUGAAAUGCGUAGAUAUGCGGAGGAACACCAAUGGCGAAGGCAAUCCCCUGGGCCUGUACUGACGCUCAUGCACGAAAGCGUGGGGAGCAAACAGGAUUAGAUACCCUGGUAGU
RNAcentral lists this ribosomal RNA (271 nucleotides) under uncultured bacterium. Its description in RNAcentral is "partial 16S ribosomal RNA". It matches the Rfam family "Bacterial small subunit ribosomal RNA", at positions 524 to 794 of the family's 1533-position model. The record is from RNAcentral.